Molecule: transfer RNA, 73 nt
Filed under: Stegodyphus mimosarum
Lineage: Eukaryota; Metazoa; Arthropoda; Arachnida; Araneae; Eresidae
Rfam family: tRNA
About the family: Transfer RNA (tRNA) molecules are approximately 80 nucleotides in length. Their secondary structure includes four short double-helical elements and three loops (D, anti-codon, and T loops).
Source: Rfam by way of RNAcentral
GCCUUCAUGGUGUAAUGGUCAGCACACUGAGCCGGUAUUUCAGAGGUCCGCGGUUCGAUUCCCGGCGAAGGCG